Molecule: unclassified non-coding RNA, 313 nt
Filed under: plant metagenome
Description: partial contains 5.8S ribosomal RNA, internal transcribed spacer 2, and large subunit ribosomal RNA
Rfam family: 5.8S ribosomal RNA (bases 1-105)
Source: RNAcentral
GAAAUGCGAUACGUAGUGUGAAUUGCAGAAUUCAGUGAAUCAUCGAAUCUUUGAACGCACAUUGCGCCCUUUGGUAUUCCAAAGGGCAUGCCUGUUCGAGCGUCAUUUGUACCCUCAAGCUUUGCUUGGUGUUGGGCGUUUUUUGUCUUUGGCUCGCCCAAAGACUCGCCUUAAAACGAUUGGCAGCCGGCCUACUGGUUUCGCAGCGCAGCACAUUUUUGCGCUUGCAAUCAGCAAAAGAGGACGGCAAUCCAUCAAGACUCCUUCUCACGUUUGACUUCGGAUCAGGUAGGGAUACCCGCUGAACUUAAGC